Molecule: ribosomal RNA, 253 nt
Filed under: uncultured prokaryote
Description: partial 16S ribosomal RNA
Rfam family: Bacterial small subunit ribosomal RNA
Source: RNAcentral
UACGAAGGGGGCUAGCGUUGCUCGGAAUGACUGGGCGUAAAGGGCGCGUAGGCGGCUCAUAGAGUCGGGCGUGAAAUUCCUGGGCUUAACCUGGGGGCUGCGUUCGAUACCUAUGGACUGGAGUGAGGAAGAGGGUCGUGGAAUUCCCAGUGUAGAGGUGAAAUUCGUAGAUAUCGGAAAGAACACCAGUGGCGAAGGCGGCUUCCUGGACUCAUACUGACGUUGAGGCGCGAAAGCGUGGGUAGCAAACAGG